AGCUCAGUUGGUAGAGCAGGGGACUGAAAAUCCCCGUGUCGUUGGUUCGAUUCCGACC
This 58-nucleotide transfer RNA is filed under the name Clostridia bacterium. RNAcentral's name for it is "tRNA-Phe". It matches the Rfam family "tRNA", at positions 9 to 63 of the family's 71-position model. From Rfam's summary of the family: Transfer RNA (tRNA) molecules are approximately 80 nucleotides in length. Lineage: Bacteria; Bacillati; Bacillota; Clostridia. The record is from RNAcentral.